RNAcentral lists this unclassified non-coding RNA (249 nucleotides) under Dothideomycetes sp. Its description in RNAcentral is "partial contains 5.8S ribosomal RNA, internal transcribed spacer 2, and large subunit ribosomal RNA". Lineage: Eukaryota; Fungi; Ascomycota; Dothideomycetes. The record is from RNAcentral.
CGCACAUUGCGCCCCUUGGCAUUCCGAGGGGCAUGCCCGUUCGAGCGUCAUUAAAUCCAAUCAAGCCUGGCUUGGUAUUGGGCGUCGGGGAUCGUCCCGCGCCUCAAUUUCGUCGGCUGUUCUGUUUUGCCUGAUUAACCGUGUUAAGACUACCGUCCACGCUAUGAUGGGCGGAGCAUGCCGUAAAAACGUUCAAUUUAAUUGAUUAAGGUUGACCUCGGAUCGGGUAGGAAUACCCGCUGAACUUAA